CAGCCGCCGCGGUAAUACGAAGGAUGCAAGCGUUAAUCGGAAUUACUGGGCGUAAAGCGUGCGUAGGUGGUGGUUUAAGUCCGUUGUGAAAGCCCUGGGCUCAACCUGGGAAUUGCAGUGGAUACUGGGUCACUAGAGUGUGGUAGAGGAUAGUGGAAUUUCCGGUGUAGCAGUGAAAUGCGUAGAGACCGGAAGGAACAUCUGUGGCGAAGGCGACUAUCUGGGCCAACACUGACACUGAGGCACGAAAGCGUGGGGAGCAAACAGGAUUAGAUACCCCUGUAGUCCCUGUCUCUUAUAA
RNAcentral lists this ribosomal RNA (301 nucleotides) under uncultured bacterium. RNAcentral describes it as "partial 16S ribosomal RNA". It matches the Rfam family "Bacterial small subunit ribosomal RNA", at positions 509 to 809 of the family's 1533-position model. The record is from RNAcentral.